Lolium perenne is the source of this 1037-nucleotide long non-coding RNA. RefSeq lists it as uncharacterized. The record is from RefSeq and is a predicted model, not a curated record. NCBI's taxonomy places the organism in Eukaryota, Viridiplantae, Streptophyta, Magnoliopsida, Poales, Poaceae.
AAAAGCAAUGAUCGAUGCUGUUACGGGCAUAUCAAACACGCCAGCGAUUUCAACUCGCAGGUUCCGUGCGAUGGAAUCAAGACGCUAGCUAUUUCAAUUGGCAGGGUGCGUGCAACAGCAAUGGCUGUUGUGUGAUCCGUAGAUGGCAACUAGACGUCCCCAGCCUCUGAUUGAUGAGAUUUAGAUCUCACUCGGGCCAACAUAGCCUGAGUAGACGCCGGCCUUCUGGCGUAAAGAAAGCUGACGAACACCACAAGAUCGGACGCCGGAAUUCUCUCACCAAGGAAGAUGACGAGAACACACAAGGUGUUUGACGAACACACAAGGUGUUUCGAGUUAACAUAAGCUCUCCAAUGAGUCUGUAUGGCGAAUAUUUGGUUCUCUCUCCGGUUCAAAAUAAUUGCCCAAAAAUAGAUCUCAAUUUGAGGUGAUCGAUGGCGACAAGAAGAGGCAUGCAAAGGUGAGGCGUCGAACAGUAUUUGCUGAACAGUUUUUGAUGCAGGUUCUAAUAAAAAAAUUGAUGCGCUUGGGCCAAGGUAGCCUGAGUAGACCCGGCGUUCUGGCGCCAAAGAAGCUGAUGAACACCACAAGGUAACUUGAGUCUGCAUCAAGCUCUUAGACGAAUCUGUGUUACGAAUUAGCGAUUUCAACACUAUUUGUGCAGGUUUUGAUCAAAAAAAGGUGAGGCGACAACACUAUUUGUUGAACACUUUUGGUGCAGGUUUUGAUCAAAAAAAUUGAUGCAUGAUUCCGAUUAAAUUCCUGACGUUCCCUUUCAUACGACGGAUGGCGGACCUUGAGUGGAUGAAGAGCAACAACAAAGCCGACAAGUGGUAGAAGGCGAGGCAAUGGACUGGCUGCACAGCCAGCAUCCGUAGGUGGAGUUGUGAAGGUCGUCACUGCGCAGGGUCGGGAAGGAUAUCAUCUGGUUUCUCCGAUGUACUAUAAUUGUAUGAACAUGUAUACUAUAGACGUUGAGAGUAAAAAAAAUAGGUCGACAGGAGUAGGGGAAAAUCGAGUUGAUGGCUUGAGGCAUA